This 401-nucleotide ribosomal RNA is filed under the name Nippononeta coreana. RNAcentral's name for it is "partial 16S ribosomal RNA". The record is from RNAcentral. Lineage: Eukaryota; Metazoa; Arthropoda; Arachnida; Araneae; Linyphiidae.
CUUAUUAUAAGUAAAAUCUGCUCAAUGAGAGUAAAUAGCCGCAGGAUAUUUACUGUGCUAAGGUAGCAUAAUCAUUUACCUUUUAAUUAAAGGUUUGUAUGAAUGAUUACACAUUUUAAUUACUUUUUUAUAAAUAUUAUUGAAUUUAAACUAAUAAUAAAAAUGUUUUUAUUAACUAAAAAGACGAUAAGACCCUAUUGAACUUUACUAUAGUUUAGCUGGGGAAGCUAAUUAAAUAUAAUUUUAAUAACCAAAAUAAAAAUUCUAAUAUAAUUAACAUCUAAAGUUACCAUAGGGAUAACAGCGUAAUAUAAUUUUAAAGAUCUUAUUAAAAAUUAAGCUUACGACCUCGAUGUUGAAUUAAGUUCCUUCAAAACGCAAUAGUAUAAAAGUAGGUCUGU